UGAGGAAUAUUGGUCAAUGGGCGGGAGCCUGAACCAGCCAAGCCGCGUGAAGGAGGAAGGCGCCAGGCGUCGUAACUUCUUUUGUCGGGGAACAAAGGGCGCCACGCGUGGCGUUGUGAGUGUACCCGAAGAAAAAGCAUCGGCUAACUCCGUGCC
RNAcentral lists this ribosomal RNA (156 nucleotides) under uncultured bacterium. RNAcentral's name for it is "partial 16S ribosomal RNA". It matches the Rfam family "Bacterial small subunit ribosomal RNA", at positions 355 to 509 of the family's 1533-position model. The record is from RNAcentral.